UACGGAGGGUGCAAGCGUUAUCCGGAUUCACUGGGUUUAAAGGGUGCGUAGGCGGAUUUGUAAGUCCGUGGUGAAAUCUCCGAGCUUAACUCGGAAACUGCCAUGGAUACUAUAAGUCUUGAAUGUUGUGGAGGUUUGCGGAAUAUGUCAUGUAGCGGUGAAAUGCUUAGAUAUGACAUAGAACACCGAUUGCGAAGGCAGCAGGCUACACAAAUAUUGACGCUGAGGCACGAAAGCGUGGGGAUCAAACAGGA
RNAcentral lists this ribosomal RNA (254 nucleotides) under uncultured bacterium. RNAcentral's name for it is "partial 16S ribosomal RNA". It matches the Rfam family "Bacterial small subunit ribosomal RNA", at positions 524 to 777 of the family's 1533-position model. The record is from RNAcentral.